CAACUUAAUUUUCUUUUUUUAUAAUUGAAUAUUUUUAUUAACAAAAUAAAAAAGGGGCAAUUGCUUAUAUACACUUGAAAAGUUUCUAACUUUCUGAUUUAUCCCUCUUAGAAUGCUAAUAUUGAAAAUACCAUUUUUAUGUUCGAACAUAUCUCAAAUAUACUCAUAGAGUUAAAAACUGUUAAUAAAUUCUGUUAUCUGUAUAAAAUUUCUAUUUUGCCCUUUCAAAUAUACCCUUCCACCAUCAUCAACUUUUCUUAUUUGCUCUUAAGUCAGGGGCACAAAAAGUAUUUUGACUUUUGAUCUUUUCAAAUAUACCCCUCUACCAUCAUUAAUAUUUCUUAUUUGUCCUUAAGUUAAGGGGCAAAAUUGGCAUUUUAAUUU
RNAcentral lists this long non-coding RNA (384 nucleotides) under Ananas comosus (pineapple). RNAcentral's name for it is "long non-coding RNA (ACOM_LNC027017)". Lineage: Eukaryota; Viridiplantae; Streptophyta; Magnoliopsida; Poales; Bromeliaceae. The record is from RNAcentral.